GACGAACGCUGGCGGCGUGCUUAACACAUGCAAGUCGAACGGAAAGGCCCCUUUGGGGGUCCUCGAGUGGCGAACGGGUGAGUAACACGUGAGUAACCUGCCCUUGACUUCGGGAUAACUUCAGGAAACUGGGGCUAAUACCGGAUAGGAAUCCUUGCUGCAUGGUGGGGGUUGGAAAGCUUCGGCGGUUUUGGAUGGACUCGCGGCUUAUCAGCUUGUUGGUGGGGUAGUGGCUUACCAAGGCUUUAACGGGUAGCCGGCCUGAGAGGGCGACCGGCCACAUUGGGACUGAGAUACGGCCCAGACGCCGACGGGAGGCAGCAGUGGGGAAUAUUGCACAAUGGGCGGAAGCCUGAUGCAGCAACGCCGCGUGCGGGAUGACGGCCUUCGGGUUGUAAACCGCUUUCAGCAGGGGCGAAGCUUGUGGUGACGGUACCUGCAGAAGAAGCACCGGCUAACUACGUG
This 465-nucleotide ribosomal RNA is filed under the name uncultured bacterium. RNAcentral's name for it is "partial 16S ribosomal RNA". It matches the Rfam family "Bacterial small subunit ribosomal RNA", at positions 28 to 507 of the family's 1533-position model. The record is from RNAcentral.